This 294-nucleotide ribosomal RNA is filed under the name uncultured Ehrlichia sp. RNAcentral's name for it is "partial 16S ribosomal RNA". It matches the Rfam family "Bacterial small subunit ribosomal RNA", at positions 113 to 424 of the family's 1533-position model. The record is from RNAcentral. Lineage: Bacteria; Pseudomonadati; Pseudomonadota; Alphaproteobacteria; Rickettsiales; Anaplasmataceae.
AUGCGUAGGAAUCUACCUAGUAGUACGGAAUAGCCAUUAGAAAUGGUGGGUAAUACUGUAUAAUCCCCGAGGGGGAAAGAUUUAUCGCUAUUAGAUGAGCCUACGUUAGAUUAGCUAGUUGGUGAGGUAAUGGCUUACCAAGGCUAUGAUCUAUAGCUGGUCUGAGAGGACGAUCAGCCACACUGGAACUGAGAUACGGUCCAGACUCCUACGGGAGGCAGCAGUGGGGAAUAUUGGACAAUGGGCGAAAGCCUGAUCCAGCUAUGCCGCGUGAGUGAAGAAGGCCUUCGGGUU